RNAcentral lists this ribosomal RNA (468 nucleotides) under uncultured bacterium. RNAcentral's name for it is "partial 16S ribosomal RNA". It matches the Rfam family "Bacterial small subunit ribosomal RNA", at positions 28 to 507 of the family's 1533-position model. The record is from RNAcentral.
GACGAACGCUGGCGGCGUGCUUAACACAUGCAAGUCGAACGGAAAGGCCCUGCUUUUGUGGGGUGCUCGAGUGGCGAACGGGUGAGUAACACGUGAGUAACCUGCCCUUGACUUUGGGAUAACUUCAGGAAACUGGGGCUAAUACCGGAUAGGAGCUCCUGCUGCAUGGUGGGGGUUGGAAAGUUUCGGCGGUUGGGGAUGGACUCGCGGCUUAUCAGCUUGUUGGUGGGGUAGUGGCUUACCAAGGCUUUGACGGGUAGCCGGCCUGAGAGGGUGACCGGCCACAUUGGGACUGAGAUAGGGCCCAGACUCGUACGGGAGGCAGCAGUGGGAAGUAUUGCACAAUGGGCGGAAGCCUGAUGCAGCGACGCCGCGUGCGGGAUGACGGCCUUCGGGUUGUAAACCGCUUUCGCCUGUGACGAAGCGUGAGUGACGGUAAUGGGUAAAGAAGCACCGGCUAACUACGUG